GGUUGUGUUAGUAUGUCCAUGGGUAGUGUUAUGAGCCUGGUGAUAGUUUGACAAGGCUUUGGUGGAGGUUGUGUUAGUAUGUCCAUGGGUAGUGUUGUGAGCCUGGUGAUAGUUUGACAAGGCUUUGGUGGAGGUUGUGUUGGUAUGUCCAUGGGUAGUGUUGUGAGCCUGGUGAUAGUUUGACAAGGCUUUGGUGGAGGUUGUGUUAGUAUGUCCAUGGGUAGUGUUGUGAGCCUGGUGAUAGUUUGACAAGGCUUUGGUGGAGGUUGUGUUAGUAUGUCCAUGGGUAGUGUUGUGAGCCUGGUGAUAGUUUGACAAGGCUUUGGUGGAGGUUGUGUUAGUAUGUCCAUGGGUAGUGUUAUGAGCCUGGUGAUAGUUUGACAAGGCUUUGGUGGAGGUUGUGUUAGUAUGUCCAUGGGUAGUGUUAUGAGCCUGGUGAUUGUUUGACAAGGCUUUGGUGGAGGUUGUGUUAGUAUGUCCAUGGGUAGUGUUAUGAGCCUGGUGAUAGUUUGACAAGGCUUUGGUGGAGGUUGUGUUAGUGUGUCCAUGGGUAGUGUUAUGAGCCUGGUGAUAGUUUGACAAGGCUUUGGUGGAGGUUGUGUUAGUAUGUCCAUGGGUAGUGUUAUGAGCCUGGUGAUAGUUUGACAAGGCUUUGGUGGAGGUUGUGUUAGUAUGUCCAUGGGUAGUGUUAUGAGCCUGGUGAUAGUUUGACAAGGCUUUGGUGGAGGUUGUGUUAGUAUGUCCAUGGGUAGUGUUAUGAGCCUGGUGAUAGUUUGACAAGGCUUUGGUGGAGGUUGUGUUAGUAUGUCCAUGGGUAGUGUUAUGAGCCUGGUGAUAGUUUGACAAGGCUUUGGUGGAGGUUGUGUUAGUAUGUCCAUGGGUAGUGUUAUGAGCCUGGUGAUAGUUUGACAAGGCUUUGGUGGAGGUUGUGUUAGUAUGUCCAUGGGUAGUGUUAUGAGCCUGGUGAUAGUUUGACAAGGCUUUGGUGGAGGUUGUGUUAGUAUGUCCAUGGGUAGUGUUAUGAGCCUGGUGAUAGUUUGACAAGGCUUUGGUGGAGGUUGUGUUAGUAUGUCCAUGGGUAGUGUUAUGAGCCUGGUGAUAGUUUGACAAGGCUUUGGUGGAGGUUGUGUUAGUAUGUCCAUGGGUAGUGUUAUGAGCCUGGUGAUAGUUUGACAAGGCUUUGGUGGAGGUUGUGUUAGUAUGUCCAUGGGUAGUGUUAUGAGCCUGGUGAUAGUUUGACAAGGCUUUGGUGGAGGUUGUGUUAGUAUGUCCAUGGGUAGUGUUAUGAGCCUGGUGAUAGUUUGACAAGGCUUUGGUGGAGGUUGUGUUAGUAUGUCCAUGGGUAGUGUUAUGAGCCUGGUGAUAGUUUGACAAGGCUUUGGUGGAGGUUGUGUUAGUAUGUCCAUGGGUAGUGUUAUGAGCCUAGUGAUAGUUUGACAAGGCUUUGGUGGAGGUUGUGUUAGUAUGUCCAUGGGUAGUGUUAUGAGCCUGGUGAUAGUUUGACAAGGCUUUGGUGGAGGUUGUGUUAGUAUGUCCAUGGGUAGUGUUAUGAGCCUGGUGAUAGUUUGACAAGGCUUUGGUGGAGGUUGUGUUAGUAUGUCCAUGGGUAGUGUUAUGAGCCUGGUGAUAGUUUGACAAGGCUUUGGUGGAGGUUGUGUUAGUAUGUCCAUGGGUAGUGUUAUGAGCCUGGUGAUAGUUUGACAAGGCUUUGGUGGAGGUUGUGUUAGUGUGUCCAUGGGUAGUGUUAUGAGCCUGGUGAUAGUUUGACAAGGCUUUGGUGGAGGUUGUGUUAGUAUGUCCAUGGGUAGUGUUAUGAGCCUGGUGAUAGUUUGACAAGGCUUUGGUGGAGGUUGUGUUAGUGUGUCCAUGGGUAGUGUUAUGAGCCUGGUGAUAGUUUGACAAGGCUUUGGUGGAGGUUGUGUUGGUAUGUCCAUGGGUAGUGUUGUGAGCCUGGUGAUAGUUUGACAAGGCUUUUGCACCAUGAACAUUAAAAACAUUCAUGAGAGCCCAACUAAUCUCCCUUGUGGCCUCU
Molecule: long non-coding RNA, 2032 nt
Organism: Eriocheir sinensis (Chinese mitten crab)
Lineage: Eukaryota; Metazoa; Arthropoda; Malacostraca; Decapoda; Varunidae
Exons: 4
Source: RefSeq, a predicted model, not a curated record